CAGUCGCCGCGGGAAUACAGAGGGUGCAAGCGUUAAUCGGAAUUACUGGGCGUAAAGAGCUCGUAGGCGGUUUGUCGCGUCUGCUGUGAAAACUGGAGGCUCAACCUCCAGCCUGCAGUGGGUACGGGCAGACUAGAGUGCGGUAGGGGAGAUUGGAAUUCCUGGUGUAGCGGUGGAAUGCGCAGAUAUCAGGAAGAACACCGAUGGCGAAGGCAGUUCUCUGGGCCGUAACUGACGCUGAGGAGCGAAAGCGUGGGGAGCGAACAGGAUUAGAGACCCCUGUAGUCCCUGUCUCUUAUAC
This 301-nucleotide ribosomal RNA is filed under the name uncultured bacterium. Its description in RNAcentral is "partial 16S ribosomal RNA". It matches the Rfam family "Bacterial small subunit ribosomal RNA", at positions 509 to 807 of the family's 1533-position model. The record is from RNAcentral.